This is a long non-coding RNA of Sitophilus oryzae (rice weevil), 468 nucleotides long. RefSeq lists it as uncharacterized. The transcript has 3 exons. NCBI's taxonomy places the organism in Eukaryota, Metazoa, Arthropoda, Insecta, Coleoptera, Curculionidae. The record is from RefSeq and is a predicted model, not a curated record.
ACCUCGGAUUUGGCCGUUACCAAGGUCACUGUGCCAUUUUGAGAAUUAAAUUUAUUUGGCUGGUAUUUUUCACAAUAUGGGAAAAAUAUUGUGAUUUUGUUGUCCCAUAGAUGGAUGGAGAUCCCAUAUAGCUUUUGAUUAUUGAGAUUUUAGUGGAUCUAUAGUUUUGAUUCCAGUUUUUUUGAUGAGAAGUGUCCAGCCCUUAUUUGAGAAGAAAUGUUAAAUAAUUAUUGAUUGUGUGCCUUCACAAUGAGGUUUUUCUACAGAUUUUUCUACGUAUUUUUCUCAACGUUUUUCUUUGGAUUUUCCUUCAAGUAUUUCUAGACAUUUUUCUAGACGUUUUUCUGCAAGUUGUUCUGCAUAUUUUUCUAGAAGUUUGUGCCAAGUUUUUCCACAAGUUUUCUUACGUGUUCAGUCACCGAAGUAAUCAGUAGCAGCCUGUUCGGUGAAAUUUCAGCCCUGCACCCC